GUCUGAAUUUGUAAUUUACUGUUAGCUCUGACAUGGGAUUUCAAUAUGACUCAGUAGUUUUUACUAUAUUGUUUAAUCCAAGGGAUGUCUAAGAACAUCGACAAACUUGCCAAGGAAAAGGAUUGGCAGGUGGUAAAAAGUGGCAACAGAGUAUUAGGAACCAUCUCUACUGGACUGCAUCAUCAUCCAAGACAGGCCCAGAGAAGGUGGCAAAGUGGACAUCUGUCAUCAAUCACAUCCACAACAUACACACACAUGAAGACCCCCUUUUUCCAAAGUGUGAGCACAGUGAUGUCAUAGAUAAGAGGAGGUGGUUGAAGCCAGGAUCAAAGGCUUCCUACAGACUGGAGAAGGUCCUUACAAACAAGAGGUUCAUCAAGGGUGUGGAGAAGCUAAGCCCUCACCACCAAACAUCCUCUCUUGAGGCCUUCCACAGCGUUGUCAUCCGCUUUGCACCAAAGAGUGUGGUGUACCCAUUCAUUGGGAUGCUUUGCAGACUCUAUCUCUCAGCAUUCCACUUCAAUGAGAAUGCCAACCGGCCACAGUCAACAAGUGCUCUGGGAGAUCCUGCCUUUAAACUGGCCUUCCCUAAAGCCAAGAAAGGGGGAUACAGCCUCAAACGACGGAAAACUGAGCCGACAUUCUGUAAGUAAAUUAUCACAACAAC
Perca fluviatilis (European perch) is the source of this 667-nucleotide long non-coding RNA. RefSeq lists it as uncharacterized. The record is from RefSeq and is a predicted model, not a curated record. NCBI's taxonomy places the organism in Eukaryota, Metazoa, Chordata, Actinopteri, Perciformes, Percidae. The transcript is spliced from 3 exons.